This 292-nucleotide ribosomal RNA is filed under the name uncultured bacterium. RNAcentral's name for it is "partial 16S ribosomal RNA". It matches the Rfam family "Bacterial small subunit ribosomal RNA", at positions 505 to 796 of the family's 1533-position model. The record is from RNAcentral.
GUGUCAGCCGCCGCGGUAAGACGAACCGAGCGAACGUUAUUCGGAAUCACUGGGCUUAAAGGGCGCGUAGGCGGGCCAUCAAGUCAGGGGUGAAAGCCCCCAGCUCAACUGGGGAAGUGCCUUUGAUACUGGUGGUCUCGAGGGGGAUAGGGGCGUGCGGAACUUCCGGUGGAGCGGUGAAAUGCGUAGAUAUCGGAAGGAACACCGGUGGCGAAAGCGGCGCGCUGGAUCCCUUCUGACGCUGAGGCGCGAAAGCCAGGGGAGCGAACGGGAUUAGAAACCCCCGUAGUCC